Molecule: ribosomal RNA, 207 nt
Filed under: uncultured bacterium
Lineage: Bacteria
Description: partial 16S ribosomal RNA
Rfam family: Bacterial small subunit ribosomal RNA
Source: RNAcentral
CACGUAGGCGGACUGGUCAGUUGGGGGUGAAAUCCCAGGGCUCAACCCUGGAACUGCCUCCAAUACUGCCAGUCUUGAGUCCGAGAGAGGUGAGUGGAAUUCCUAGUGUAGAGGUGAAAUUCGUAGAUACUAGGAAGAACACCAGUGGCGAAGGCGGCUCACUGGCUCGGUACUGACGCUGAGGUGCGAAAGCGUGGGGAGCAAACA